Molecule: transfer RNA, 76 nt
Filed under: Fidelibacterota bacterium
Lineage: Bacteria; Pseudomonadati; Fidelibacterota
Description: tRNA-His
Rfam family: tRNA
About the family: Transfer RNA (tRNA) molecules are approximately 80 nucleotides in length.
Source: RNAcentral
GUGGGUGUAGCUCAGUUGGUUAGAGCACCUGUCUGUGGCACAGGGGGUCGUGGGUUCGAAUCCCAUCACUCACCCA